GCGUCCCUGGCGAAUCAGAAUUGGAGACAUGUUAUUUUAUCCAAUCUGAUUGGUUCUCAACACCUGUCAUUCAACUCUUCCCCCGGCCGCUACUGGAGAGAGAAGGUGGACACAAUAGUAGCGCCAGCAGGUAGCUCUUGUGUUGCUGAAAUGGUCUAACCACUUUGAUUAAAGUAGGAAAUUAGCAACAAUAAACAAGGAAAGAUUCGUGAAAGAGAAGUUAUACAACGUCGUGGAGCUGCCGACCCCGUCCAAACGGCGUGUGAAUUGAAUAUUCCGGCUGUUUUUUUUGGUGAGACUCUACUGGGAGACAGAACUGUGCUGCUCAAGUCACCGCCGUCAUACUGCCUCCUGGGUUUCAUCUUCAUCACCACCAUCUUCUUACCGCUCACUAGACCUUCGCCAUCAUCAUCUCCACUACUCACAGGAUUUUCACGUAGUUUCCCUACUCUAUUCUCUGAGGAGCCAGGAUGGACAGUUUUACCUGCUAACGGUGGUGGUAGGAACUUGAGUGCACUCAAACUAAUGAAACAGGUUAUCUCUAUGAAAUAAGAGCUCUCAGUUUUUGGUUAAUUUGGUUUUAUAUUUUUAUUUUCUUUGUCAGGUUUUUGAUAUUUAAGUUGUGGUUUGAGUACAUUGGGUUUGAACCUAAUUGGCCUAUCUACCAAACUUGAAUCUUGAAAGCUCUUUUUAAAUACUUAGUUGUUUAAAUAAAGUUGUGCUGGUUGUUUUGCCCAGUUUCAAAGUACUGCUUUGUAUUUAUUUGCCCCCCGCCCCUUAAAUCCCACAACACUGUUAUUGUAUUCUGCUGUGAUUAUUAGGCCUCUUGUAUUAUCUUUCCUGCUGUCGGAGGCUCACUCAUGUUUAAACAGAGCCCCUCACUGUGAUCAUUUUCACAGGCAAAUGCAUCUCCCACCGUCUCUAGUGGCUUUAUCAACACGGAAUAGGUUUCAAUUGCUCUGAACAUGAUUUCAAACGUCACAUGCAGCCAGCCAAUGUGACCAAAGAUUCAUUCCAUGGUUCUUUUCAAAUAAAGCAGGGAGAUUGUAACGCCUCCUGCCUAGCCCGGGUUGAUUAGCAUACACAUGAAAAGGUAGCUGUUAUAAUAAUAUGUCUUGUCUCCAUUAGAUACGUUCAUCUCAGGUAUGAGUGUGUCUGCUCGGCAAUGCAGUCCCCAUUCAUUAUCCAGCUUGUCCCCGACUGUCAAGAUUUGAAAAAUGAUGACCGUACUCUAUCACUAAAUUCGAAAGUAAUGAGUGCUAUUAAUAUUUAUUUUUCAGUAGAAGCACGAACAGCCGAUAUAACAACUGUCACUGACACUUUUAUUGUUCUACUAAUUACGCUCUAUAAGUUUGUUUCCAAGGAAAGUAAUGAAAAAGUAGAGACAAAACGAAAAAAAACAACUAUUUGUCCCAACUUGUUCAGUUGGCAAAUAUUACACAUUGACUAAGACGAGGUUCAGAAUUCUGCAGUAAAAGUAUAUUAGUUUGACAUUAAUAAUGACAACACCUGAAAAUAAUGACAUAAUGAUUCUCAAUCCCUCUCACAAAGCUCUGACUGGAUGGUUGUUUUUCCAACCUUCAAUAAACACAACUACAGACGUAUUUGCAUACCUAGGCGGCGAUUCAUAGGUCUAGAACCAGGCUGGGUUACUUUUCGUAUUGAAAUAAUGUAUGUCUUUGCUGAUUGUUUUCUUUGACUCAGUCUGAAGGCACUCAGGCUCUUUCUUAUUGCUGGGCUCUGUUUUUGGGAAAUCAUUUGUUGACACCAUGUUUACUGACACAGUUAAGUGACACAGUUACCACAGCUCUAUUUUUUUCUAACAUUUUUUUUUUUUCAUUUAUUAAUUUAUUUUGCGAUGAAAGUCUUUCUUAUGCUGUGUUGUGUCGAGUGUGUUUUAUGUAUGUGUAAGUAUUUCACCUUUGAUGUUCCUCUGAACCCAGAGAUUUGAUGAGGCUAAGGGAAGGCCUCCUUCCAUCAUUCAAGCUCAUCAAGGUAGCAGUUUGUUUUUAUCAGUUAUUAAUAAAGGUGCCCUUUGGCAGCCA
This is a long non-coding RNA of Perca flavescens (yellow perch), 2045 nucleotides long. RefSeq lists it as uncharacterized. The transcript has 2 exons. The record is from RefSeq and is a predicted model, not a curated record. NCBI's taxonomy places the organism in Eukaryota, Metazoa, Chordata, Actinopteri, Perciformes, Percidae.